Molecule: ribosomal RNA, 451 nt
Filed under: uncultured bacterium
Lineage: Bacteria
Description: bacterial SSU rRNA
Rfam family: Bacterial small subunit ribosomal RNA
Source: RNAcentral
GUGAGGAAUUUUGCGCAAUGGGGGGAACCCUGACGCAGCAACGCCGCGUGAGUGAAGAAGGCCUUCGGGUUGUAAAGCUCUGUCAGAGCUGAAGAAACUACCUCGGGUAAAUAGCCCGUGGUACUGACGGUAAGCUCAGAGGAAGCACCGGCUAACUCCGUGCCAGCAGCCGCGGUAAUACGGAGGGUGCAAGCGUUGUUCGGAUUUAUUGGGCGUAAAGAGCGUGUAGGCGGUUUUGCAAGUCAGGUGUGAAAUCCCGGGGCUUAACCCCGGAACUGCGCCUGAAACUGCAGGACUUGAGUACGGGAGAGGUAGGUGGAAUUCCUGGUGUAGAGGUGAAAUUCGUAGAUAUCAGGAGGAACACCCGUGGCGAAAGCGACCUACUGGACCGAUACUGACGCUGAGACGCGAAAGCGUGGGGAGCAAACAGGAUUAGAAACCCCUGUAGUCC